CCUACGGGAGGCUGCAGUGGGGAAUAUUGCACAAUGGGCGCAAGCCUGAUGCAGCCAUGCCGCGUGUGUGAAGAAGGCCUUCGGGUUGUAAAGCACUUUCAGCGGGGAGGAAGGCGUUAAGGUUAAUAACCUUGUCGAUUGACGUUACCCGCAGAAGAAGCACCGGCUAACUCCGUGCCAGCAGCCGCGGUAAUACGGAGGGUGCAAGCGUUAAUCGGAAUUACUGGGCGUAAAGCGCACGCAGGCGGUCUGUCAAGUCGGAUGUGAAAUCCCCGGGCUCAACCUGGGAACUGCAUUCGAAACUGACAGGCUAGAGUCUUGUAGAGGGGGGUAGAAUUCCAGGUGUAGCGGUGAAAUGCGUAGAGAUCUGGAGGAAUACCGGUGGCGAAGGCGGCCCCCUGGACAAAGACUGACGCUCAGGUGCGAAAGCGUGGGGAGCAAACAGGAUUAGAUACCCGUGUAGUC
This 465-nucleotide ribosomal RNA is filed under the name uncultured Klebsiella sp. RNAcentral's name for it is "bacterial SSU rRNA". It matches the Rfam family "Bacterial small subunit ribosomal RNA", at positions 338 to 795 of the family's 1533-position model. Lineage: Bacteria; Pseudomonadati; Pseudomonadota; Gammaproteobacteria; Enterobacterales; Enterobacteriaceae. The record is from RNAcentral.